Molecule: long non-coding RNA, 1098 nt
Filed under: Gouania willdenowi (blunt-snouted clingfish)
Lineage: Eukaryota; Metazoa; Chordata; Actinopteri; Blenniiformes; Gobiesocidae
Description: lncRNA (ENSGWIG00000017038.1)
Source: RNAcentral
UUAACUUCAGAUCAAACUGGGCCGUACGUUGCUCCUGGACUGAAAUUCAGUGUGCGUGUGUGCGUGUGUGUGUGUGUCCCCCUCAGGUGAAGCUAUGCUGGGACGAUCUGACGGCUGCUCACUGCGUCCAAUCAGCAGCCACUCAAAGCGCCUCCAGUCCCAUCCAGCUGGAUUUCCCUCAGGCUCAGGGAGCUCAGAUGGAUGCGUGUUUUCCUCCAGGAAGCCUUCCUACACGUCCAGAAUCUGAUAGUCCUGAUCCACAGCUGGACCCACUGCUUGAACCACCGCUUGAACCAGAGCUAAGACCACAGCUGGAACAACAGCUUGAAACACAGCUGGGACCACAGCUGGGACCACAACUAGGACAACAGCUGGGACCACAGCUGGAACAACAGCUGGGACCACAACGAGGACAACAGCUGGGACCACAACUAGGACAAGAGCUUGGACCACAGCUGGGCAUCGUUCUCUCCCAACAGGCCAAGAUGUUACUCCAGCAGAUGCAGACCUUUGGCGAUCUACUGAAGAGUAGAAAACUGAGUCUUGAAAAGCAAACAGAGGGUUUGUGUCACCUCAGUGAAACCUUGGACUCGUUGGUAAAAAGUUUCCUCCUGACGAAUAAGGAGCUACGCCGCCUGAAGAAGCAGCACAGAGCAGACCUGGGUUGUCUUGACCCCACACGGACAUUGAAGGCACAGAUCUACUACUCUGUGUAUCUCAUGAGGAAGCUGAAGAAGUAUCAGGAGCAGCUCUAUGAGACUCCGCCCCCCUCCUUCCCUGUUCAGCAUGUGUGCUCGUCCACUCCACGAACCCCCCCACAGUUUCCAGCUGAUCCUGGUGAGAUGAAGGAACUGAGGUCAACCAGAGAAGGAAGUGACAACGACUACAAACACACACUCACCUCUCACUUCCUCCCACCUCUGAGCGAUGCUCACACACACAUGGAUCAAAGCAGUCAGUCCAGCUGCUUCCCUGGUCCUGUACCCAGCACCACCAGGACCACCACCAGAACCAGAACCAGUAGCAGUAGCAGCAGCAGUAGCAGGAGGAGGAGGAUCAUACCUGGAGAGAGGAGGAGCUCCAAAGUUCAAUCGCAAG